UGGGGAAUUUUGGACAAUGGGCGAAAGCCUGAUCCAGCCAUGCCGCGUGGGUGAAGAAGGCCUUCGGGUUGUAAAGCCCUUUCGGCUGGGACGAAAAGGUUCGUGUUAACACCACGGACUCAUGACGGUACCAGCAGAAGAAGCACCGGCUAACUACGUGCCAGCAGCCGCGGUAAUACGUAGGGUGCAGGCGUUAAUCGGAAUUACUGGGCGUAAAGCGUGCGCAGGCGGUCUGCUAAGAGAGAUGUGAAAUCCCCGGGCUUAACCUGGGAACUGCGUUUCUAACUGGCAGGCUUGAGUGUGGCAGAGGGGGGUGGAAUUCCACGUGUAGCAGUGAAAUGCGUAGAUAUGUGGAGGAACACCGAUGGCGAAGGCAGCCCCCUGGGCUAACACUGACGCU
Molecule: ribosomal RNA, 400 nt
Filed under: uncultured bacterium
Lineage: Bacteria
Description: bacterial SSU rRNA
Rfam family: Bacterial small subunit ribosomal RNA
Source: RNAcentral